AUUCAGCUGAUCAGUUCCAAAGAGAACAAAACGCGCGUCCUGGAU
Molecule: non-coding RNA, 45 nt
Filed under: Schistosoma mattheei
Lineage: Eukaryota; Metazoa; Platyhelminthes; Trematoda; Strigeidida; Schistosomatidae
Source: RNAcentral